Pogona vitticeps (central bearded dragon) is the source of this 786-nucleotide long non-coding RNA. RefSeq lists it as uncharacterized. NCBI's taxonomy places the organism in Eukaryota, Metazoa, Chordata, Lepidosauria, Squamata, Agamidae. The record is from RefSeq and is a predicted model, not a curated record.
CUGAGUUGAAUCACCAUUGCAGCUUAAGUCUGACUUGACAGCUGUGAUAAGCUUGGUUAUGAAAGUUCAUGGAAUAAUUUACUGAUGGGAUUUGUGAUCACAAAGUUAGCCAGAAUGAAUUCAUCUUAUUUCUGUGUGUGAGUUGAGAGUGGAAAUUUCCAAAGUUGAGUCCUAGCUGUACAUCUGUACUGUUCAGCAUGGUCUUAUCACGUAACUAAGCAACCUGGCUAGUACAAAGUGAGGAAGACUAAACAACUUUCCCUGAGCCUCAUGGGAACAAGAAAGGAAGAGAUUCUACCACGAGGGAGACGGAAGAUGGAUGCCAACAUACAGAACUCGAACCGCUGCUGUUCAGGUGGUCCCAAAGAAUUCUGGCUGGAUCCUGAAACAAGCUGGAAGAGAUUAGCACUAGACGUCCAAGCAACCACAGGAUUUGAAAAUUGAUGGACAACUGAGACAACAUACAGGACGUAAGAGAGUGAAGGAACAUGGAUGAAACAGAUCGAAGCCAGCCUCUGAACCCACAUUCCACUACUAUUAACAUCGGAUCUUAGAAGAAUGGCAGAGCUCUGCACUCUUGUUGACUUCAUAUUCUGGACUUUUAAAGGCACAUAUGUGCCUUUUUCCUGCUGACUGAAAUUAGAAUCAGACAUUGGAAGUAACUGAUUACAUGUUGUUAUAACAAAAAACUACCUACCGUAAGCAAAUGGUACUGUAACUAGUAGUUACAUAGUUAUUUCUUAGAUGUAAUGAGUAAAAGCAAUUUACUUUCUAAAGUUACUUCUA